Molecule: long non-coding RNA, 913 nt
Organism: Panicum hallii
Lineage: Eukaryota; Viridiplantae; Streptophyta; Magnoliopsida; Poales; Poaceae
Exons: 4
Source: RefSeq, a predicted model, not a curated record
CAGAAACGAGAAAACUAUUCAGGUGCACGCUAGGGCUUUUUAGAUCUCGCAGCUUGCGGGCAGGGUCCGGCGACUUCCCCUGUUUCAGUGUCCAUCGUGUGGCAGUUCACCGUAGCGAACUGCAAGAAUUAUUCUCGCAGGACUCUGACGGCGCAGCAUGCGGAAGGUUGUUUUGGUACCGGCGGUGGCUGCGCAUCAGGGGGCUUCGCGGCCGCCGCUUACAAUUGUGCUUGACGACAACUACCAUCCGGAGCCAAGCGUGGAGUUCUCAAGUCAAUGAUCUGAACAAUCGAUGAUAUGAAUAAAGAAUGCUAUUUGAUGGCGCUAGCGUGCUGCAUGUGGCUUAUUUAUCUGGGGGCAAAACUCUGUAAUGAUCUGUGCCAUCAGAAUGCACGAUUAUGUUGGACAUAAAGCCGAGCUGUGCGAGUGAAAGCAUAAUAUAUUAAGCAUACUACAAUUGCAAUUAUUUAUGUGCUAUUAGCAGUGCAAUUCAGAGCUAUGACUGAAAUAUUUUGUGUGAAGAAGAUCCUUCCUCUAGGGCAUAGGGAAGUAUUCAGUUAGCUCAAAAUUGAGCUAAUCAACAUCAUAUUUAAACGAACAGAGGGAUCAAAUAUGAAAUUUGCAGCUGUUGGAGAUUAUCGCUUAUUGUAUAGCUGAAAGGUUGGAGAUUAAAUUGAGAAGUCAAAGAAGCAAGAAGAUGUUUUGCUGAAUGGUUUUGGUUCCCUGGUUCAGUCUCUCCGAGUCGAACAAGCUGGUCUUUCUUUUUCAUGGCUGAUGAACGUCGAAACUGCUGAUCACGUCAAGAACACGAAGAUCACAUUGGAUUGGACAAGUUUACUUCACAAUUGUGCUAUUUGUUGUACAGUAGGAUAUACGUUUCCUACUUGGUUGAUUUUAGUAACAAAAUAUGUAG